CACCGGCGGCUCGAGUGGUGGCCACUUUUAUUGGGUCUAAAGCGUCCGUAGUCGGCUUGGCAAGUCCCCUGGGAAAUCUGGCGGCUUAACCGUCAGGCGUCCAGAGGAUACUGCCAGGCUUGGGACCGGGAGAGGUGAGAGGUACCUCAGGGGUAGGGGUGAAAUCUUGUGAUCCCUGAGGGACCACCAGUGGCGAAGGCGUCUCACUAGAACGGGUCCGACGGUCAGGGACGAAAGCUGGGGGCACGAACCGG
Molecule: ribosomal RNA, 254 nt
Filed under: uncultured microorganism
Description: partial 16S ribosomal RNA
Rfam family: Archaeal small subunit ribosomal RNA
Source: RNAcentral